This 943-nucleotide long non-coding RNA is filed under the name Gallus gallus (chicken). Lineage: Eukaryota; Metazoa; Chordata; Aves; Galliformes; Phasianidae. The record is from RNAcentral.
CGGGCGGAGAGCGCGGGAAGGGCCCGCGGCGCCCUGAGGGCCGCUCGUUCCCUUCCCGUCCCCCUCACCGUCCCAUUUUGAAGUGUUUUUUUCCCCUCACAGCGUGAAGAUUUUGGGGUCAACGCUGCUCUUUCCUCCCCCUCCACACGCGCCCUCCCAGAGAUGGAUUGCAGAACAAAGCCACUCACCUACAACGCUAUGAUCCAAUUACACACAAUUACUCUCACUUUGGCCCGUACGUAUCUUGGAUUUUAUAUAUUUAUUACCUUUGUUUUCCUCCAUUGGCUUUCUACUGUCCUAAGAGCAAGAGGGAAAAAAAAUUACACGCACACACCCAAAAGAAAAAAAAAAAAGACGAAAAAUAAUAGUUAAAAAAGGUAAAAACAAGCAAAAUGCGACCAGCCGCCCAUUUGAUCAGUCCGUGGUGAAGAUUGGUGCCUGAAUGCUUUAUUUGUUCCACAGAGGUGUAGAUUUCCCUUGGGAUGUUGGGGAAAGAUUUCUUAAUUAAAGGAUAAAAAAAUAAAAAGUAAAAAAUAAAGCAGUGAAACAGAACCAAAAAGGAAAGCAAUAUUAAUUAUUUAAAAAAAAGAAAAAAAAAAAAAGAAGAAGGCAGCUGACUCUGCCAGUGCAGUCGGGCAGGCACUGAAUUCAUUGCACCGAAAUGAGGACGGAUGAGCUGAACUGAGUGGCAGGGCUUAGUGCAGCUCCGGGAGGAGGGCUCAGCUCCUUGUCCCACUAUCCAGCGCCGCACACACCACCAUUUGUGUGCUUUUGUGCUUUAUUUCCAGCCCCGCGGGCUGCCCUACGUGAUGCACGGAGCGACGUGCGUGCCCCGCUGCUGUGCAUUCCUCUCCCUUUUAUUGCCUGCUCUAUGGCUCAGCUCGCUUUUUUUUUUCUCCCCCCUCUGCGGGCAGCAGGGUUGCUCUGCUUUCCUCUCCCCAGC